Molecule: long non-coding RNA, 1348 nt
Filed under: Sus scrofa (pig)
Lineage: Eukaryota; Metazoa; Chordata; Mammalia; Artiodactyla; Suidae
Description: lncRNA (ENSSSCG00015011717.1)
Source: RNAcentral
GGCGUGUCCGCCUUUUCAAGUCUGAGGCCGCGCCUGUUACCUGCGAAGACUGGACUCUCUCAACAGGGGACCCGUGAGGCGCGUGUGGCGGCACUCAGAAGCUCCUAUGUGAAGGACCAGACCUAGACUAGGAGCGCCUGAGGAGAGACCUUGGGGAUGCUGCAGGAGGCCUCGGCCAACACAACGGUUAGCUCUCCAACCCCGUGUCCGGCCGACUGACCGAGGCGAGGGGAGUGAGCGCGCGUGCGCACUGGCGCGCGCCAGGCAUUAAAAAAACCAGCGCGAGACCCCGCACGCGCGCGCGCGCGCGCGUUCGAAAAGAAAAAAAAGUCCUCCCCGCGGGGGCCCGCGGCAAUUUAGGCCGGAGUUGGUCGGCGAGCGCGCGUGCGCGAGCGCGCUCAGACGCCCUUCUCUACCGCUCCCCUCGGUUGGGGGUCUAGCGCAUUGCUCUUCUGCCCCCGCCUCUCCCGAGGCUCACGCCCUCGGGGUAAGUACCUCGCGCCUUGCGGGGAGGGAGGAAGAGGGUCCAGCGAAGGAAGGGAGAAGGCGGACAGGGCUGGGAAAAAGGGAAAAACCGCUCUCGAAAAGCGAGUAGCACGGCCAGCGGGUUGGAGUCUGCAGAAGACACGCCUCCAUCUCUCACGCCCCUCGGGGCUGCGGAAGUACUCUAGAGACUCGAGAGGCUCGGCGGCGACAGGUGGACUACCUUUCCCGGGAGGCGGCGCGGCGCCGCGCCUCCAGCUCCCGGCAGCACUUGCGCGUCAGGCUUUUCUCAGCUUGCCGCCGCCUGGGGCGAAACUACAGUUCCCAGGAGGCCUCGCGCGAAGCGGCUUGGAAGUGGGCAGCCUGGAAGUCACUCGGGCCACCGGAGCUGGCGGCGUCUUUAGCGAGCCGCGCGGUUCUGGACGCCUCGGUCGUGGGGCCCGCGGGGCGGGCAGCCUGGACGCCCAGGGACCGUUGGCAAAACAGCCUCCCCGGGAACGUGCCUGUUGGCGAAGACCUGCCGUCUCUUGGGGAGCUCCGCCGGCUGUGUUCCUGCGGCUGCUGAAUGAGUCGCUGCUGGGAGCUGGCGCGGCAGGUUCCCGUUUCCGCAUUCCAGACACCCCGGCCGGGGGGAGGCACCACCCACCCGAUGGCGAGGGCGAGGCCGAGGGCGGCCUGCUGAGCGCAGGCAGGUGGCCUUGGCCUGGAGGAGACCUGGGAUGGGAGCUGAGAGCCUGGAGCUCCCCUCACGGUCACCCGGCUGCCUUUGAUCCGCGCUGUGCUCAGGACGUGUUCCAAUGCACCGUCUUUGACCUUGGCUCUCAGAGGACCCUCAAGGAGCACUAGUGUCCAGAACCUACUAAGG